CAAUAGCGUAUAUUAACAUUGCUGCAGUUAAAAAGCUCGUAGUCGAAUUUCUGGCUUGACAAACUUGAACUGAAUCUCUCGAAGAUCAUGUUUCUUCGUUUGCGAGCCAUCCUUCUGGAGCUGUACUUCUCCUCUUGGAUGAGGGCGUCGUACAAUCCAGAUCCUUUACUGUGAGCAAAUGAGAGUGUUUAACGCAAGCUCAUGACAUGCCUGAAUCCUCUAGCAUGGAAUAAUAAGAUAGAACUUAAGUUCUAUUUUGUUGGCUUCUAGAAUUUAAGUAAUGAUCGAAAGGGAUAGUUGGGGGUGCUCGUAUUCAGAGGGGAGCGGUGAAAUGCGUUGAGCCUCUGAAGACGGACUAAUGCGAAAGCAUUCACCAAGGAUAUCUUCUUUGA
Molecule: ribosomal RNA, 392 nt
Filed under: uncultured eukaryote
Lineage: Eukaryota
Description: partial 18S ribosomal RNA
Rfam family: Eukaryotic small subunit ribosomal RNA
Source: RNAcentral